Molecule: ribosomal RNA, 265 nt
Filed under: uncultured Glomus
Lineage: Eukaryota; Fungi; Glomeromycota; Glomeromycetes; Glomerales; Glomeraceae
Description: partial 18S ribosomal RNA
Rfam family: Eukaryotic small subunit ribosomal RNA
Source: RNAcentral
AAGCUCGUAGUUGAAUUUCGGGAUUGGCGCAUCGGUCGUGCCUCACGGGGUAUGAACUGGUGCAGUCAAUUUCUCACCUUCUGGAGAACCGCGAUGUCCUUAAUUGGAUGCCGCGGGGAACCAGGACCUUUACUUUGAAAAAAUUAGAGUGUUUAAAGCAGGCAUUUUUGCUUGAAUACAUUAGCAUGGAAUAAUAAAAUAGGACGGCAUGGUUCUAUUUUGUUGGUUUCUAGGACCACCGUAAUGAUUAAUAGGGAUAGUUGGG